Non-coding RNA from Neolamprologus brichardi, 322 nucleotides. The record is from RefSeq and is a predicted model, not a curated record. Lineage: Eukaryota; Metazoa; Chordata; Actinopteri; Cichliformes; Cichlidae.
AUAACCCUUCUGUUCUAGGUUCUGGUAUACCAGAGUUGAAGACCAUCCUGAGAGGGGUGGUACUAAAGGAGUAUUUGACUCUGAAGGCGUUCAUCGCCAAAGUCAUUGGUCUGACGGCGGCUCUGGGCAGCGGCAUGCCUGUAGGCAAAGAGGGCCCGUUUGUUCACAUCGCCAGCAUCUGUGCAGCAGUUCUCAGCAGGUUCAUGUCCUUUUUUUCAGGAGUUUAUCAGAAUCCAUACUGUUACACAGACAUCCUGACGGUCGGUUGUGCUGUCGGGGUGGGCUGCUGCUUCGGUACUCCGCUUGGAGGUACACAUCCUUU